This is a long non-coding RNA of Girardinichthys multiradiatus, 324 nucleotides long. RefSeq lists it as uncharacterized. The record is from RefSeq and is a predicted model, not a curated record. The transcript has 2 exons. NCBI's taxonomy places the organism in Eukaryota, Metazoa, Chordata, Actinopteri, Cyprinodontiformes, Goodeidae.
UCCUGGAUUGCUUCCUGGAUCUUCUGCUCUAACUGGAUCAACCUUUCACCGGAUUCAGACCAAGCUACACUAUAACCAAACAGUACUCACAAGUCCCCACAACUGAAAACUCCUAGGCUUCUUCUCCAGCUCAGCCACAGCAAACCUGUCCUUCCUCAAAAAAACUUCUCACUAUGGGCACCUCACACAGACCAACACCCCUGGACCCGGUUAUUUCUCUCCCAAUCUGGAUCACUCAUUGGCAAUUAUGAUUCCCACUUCAGGAACCCUUCCUGGAUCAAAUUCCUUAACGAUGUACUGUUUUCAAUAAAUUGUUAAACUUUU